This 407-nucleotide ribosomal RNA is filed under the name uncultured microorganism. RNAcentral's name for it is "bacterial SSU rRNA". It matches the Rfam family "Archaeal small subunit ribosomal RNA", at positions 330 to 744 of the family's 1478-position model. The record is from RNAcentral.
GUGCAGCAGUCGCGAAUACUUUACAAUGUGCGAAAGCACGAUAAGGGAACUCUGAGUGCCUCCUAAGGAGGCUGUUCAGGUGUCUAAAAGCACCUGAAGGAAGGGCUGGGUAAGACCGGUGCCAGCCGCCGCGGUAACACCGGCAGCCCAAGUGGUAGCCACGUUUAUUGGGUCUAAAGCGUCCGUAGCCGGCUGGGUAAGUUCCUUGGGAAAUUUGGCUGCUUAACUGUCAAGCUUUCAGGGAAUACUGCCCGGCUUGGGACCGGGAGAGGUCAGAGGUACUCCAGGGGUAGGGCGAAAUCCAUUAAUCCUUGGGGGACCACCGGUAGCGAAGGCGUCUGUCCAGACCGGGUCCGACGGUGAGGGACGAAGGCUAGGGGCGCGAACCGGAUUAGAUACCCCUGUAG